Molecule: transfer RNA, 87 nt
Filed under: Kordiimonas sediminis
Lineage: Bacteria; Pseudomonadati; Pseudomonadota; Alphaproteobacteria; Kordiimonadales; Kordiimonadaceae
Description: tRNA-Leu
Rfam family: tRNA
About the family: Transfer RNA (tRNA) molecules are approximately 80 nucleotides in length. Their secondary structure includes four short double-helical elements and three loops (D, anti-codon, and T loops).
Source: RNAcentral
GCCCACGUGGCGGAAUUGGUAGACGCGCCGGAUUCAAAAUCCGGUUCCCUCGCGGGAGUGCCGGUUCGAUUCCGGCCGUGGGUACCA